Molecule: ribosomal RNA, 814 nt
Filed under: marine metagenome
Description: bacterial SSU rRNA
Rfam family: Bacterial small subunit ribosomal RNA
Source: RNAcentral
AGAGUUUGAUCCUGGCUCAGGACGAACGCUGGCGGUGCGCCUUAUGCAUGCAAGUCGAGCGAAGCUUUUCAGUAGUUUACUACAGAAAAUGACUGAGCGGCGAACGGGUGAGUAACGCGUGAGCAACCUACCUUAGUUACAGGGAUAGCCCGAGGAAACUCGGAUUAAUACCUAAUACCGGAUAUUCUUAUUUAAUCACAUGAUUUUUUAAGGAAAGGUCAGCCGAACUAAGAUGGGCUCGCGUUCUAUCAGCUAGUUGGUAGGGUAACGGCCUACCAAGGCUACGACGGAUAGCUGGUCUGAGAGGACGAUCAGCCACACUGGGACUGAGACACGGCCCAGACUCCUACGGGAGGCUGCAGCAGGGAAUAUUGUGCAAUGAACGAAAGUUUGACACAGCGACACCGCGUGUGGGAUGACGGAUCUAGGUUUGUAAACCACUUUCAGGAGGGAAGAAAAUGACGGUACCUCCACAAGAAGCCCCGGCCAACUACGUGCCAGCAGCCGCGGUAAUACGUAGGGGGCGAGCGUUGUCCGGAUUUAUUGGGCGUAAAGAGCUCGUAGGCGGUUCAACAAGUCGGUCGUGAAAGUUCAGGGCUCAACCCUGAAAUGUCGAUCGAUACUGUUGUGACUAGGAUACGGUAGAGGUGAGUGGAAUUCCGAGUGUAGCGGUGAAAUGCGUAGAUAUUCGGAGGAACACCAAUUGCGAAGGCAGCUCACUGGGCCGCUAUCGACGCUGAGGAGCGAAAGCUAGGGGAGCAAACAGGAUUAGAUACCCUGGUAGUCCUAGCUGUAAACGAUGGAUACUAGAUGU